RNAcentral lists this long non-coding RNA (644 nucleotides) under Pongo abelii (Sumatran orangutan). Its description in RNAcentral is "lincRNA". Lineage: Eukaryota; Metazoa; Chordata; Mammalia; Primates; Hominidae. The record is from RNAcentral.
CCGGCGGCUGCCGUGGCGGGUGGGCGGCUGCCAUUCUCUUCUCGGCCAGUUCUCGAGCGCCUCCCCGGGCCCCGCCCUGCAGCCUCGGUCUCCCUGGCGCUGCGCGGCCUAGGGGACUGGGCUGCUGGCCUCCGGGUGCGGGGUGGGGGCAGGCUCUGACCUGGGGCGUCCUGGCCGCGUGAGCCGCGGGAUGGGGGCCCGGGCCCCGGAGGAGGCGCCGCUGUUGUGUUCCUUGGUGGAGAGGGCGCUGCCGGCCCUGCGCGGUUUCCAGCCAGGAAGCUUCGGGAAGCCUGGUUUCAGACGCAGAGGCCAAGAUGUGGGCCCAGCCCUGUGCCAGAAGGCUGGCUGGAAUAAAGGGAUGGGCAGGCUGGCAUGGGGACACCCGCUGCCCCUGCCUGGGUAGUGCUGUGUAUUUCCGCCGGCCAGGGGCCACUGCCAGGACCACCCCUCCAUUUUCAUAUCCCGAUUCUUAAGUUCUGCCAUUGUGGUAUUCUGGUGGAAAAAAAAGAACCGCUUGGCUGUUUUUGAACUGUCUGGAACCUAAGAUCCCGAAUCCCCCCCCCGCCCCCCCGCAGGGGGAAAAUCUAUAUGGAAAACAUUUAUUUUAAAAUACAGGAUGAAGUGAAUUAAAAGAUUUAAAUGCA